This 461-nucleotide ribosomal RNA is filed under the name uncultured bacterium. RNAcentral describes it as "partial 16S ribosomal RNA". It matches the Rfam family "Bacterial small subunit ribosomal RNA", at positions 338 to 795 of the family's 1533-position model. The record is from RNAcentral.
CCUACGGGAGGCAGCAGUGAGGAAUAUUGGUCAAUGGGCUUACGCCUGAACCAGCCAAGUCGCGUGCGGGAAGACUGCCCUAUGGGUUGUAAACCUCUUUUGUCAGGGAGCAACGCCGGCUACGUGUAGCCGGACUGAGAGUACCUGAAGAAAAAGCAUCGGCUAACUCCGUGCCAGCAGCCGCGGUAAUACGGAGGAUGCGAGCGUUAUCCGGAUUUAUUGGGUGUAAAGGGCGUGUAGGCGGGAGCGCAAGUCAGAUGUGAAAACUCAGGGCUCAACCCUGAGCCUGCAGUUGAAAAUGUGUUUCUUGAGUGCUGGGGAGGCGAUCGGAAGUCCGGGUGUAGCGGUGAAAUGCGUAGAUAGACGGAGGAACACCAGUGGCGAAGGCGGAUUGCUGGACAGUAACUGACGCUGAGGCGCGAAAGCGUGGGGAGCAAACAGGAUUAGAUACCCGGGUAGUC